This 631-nucleotide long non-coding RNA is filed under the name Brassica napus (rape). RNAcentral describes it as "long non-coding RNA (BNAP_LNC018323)". Lineage: Eukaryota; Viridiplantae; Streptophyta; Magnoliopsida; Brassicales; Brassicaceae. The record is from RNAcentral.
AAAAUAUGACAAUAUUGUUUUAAUGCAUAUUUGUAUCAUGAACUAACAUAUGAUUAUGGUCAGAGAAGUUUGGAACCUUGUUUGUCUUCGUUUCUCUAAAAUAACGAUUUUAUUGUCGUUUGCUACUGAUUUAAGGAACAUAUGAAGUUUUACUAAAUUAACUGAUAAAAAAUAGAACCAUGCCCAUGUUCUAUGAAAGAGAGUUUAGAGUACAUUAAUACAAAUGUAGAAUAUGGUUAGAAAUUUUAAAACAACAGUGAAGAUUAUAGGCUUAAAUAUAUUAACCAUUUACCGAAAAUCAACACAUAGAUUUUGAGAAAAAUUCAAAAAAAAAUGACAAUAUUGUUUUAAUGCAUAAUUGUAUCAUGACCUAACAUAUGAUGAUAGCCUGAUAAGUUUGAAACCUUUGUUGUCUCUCUUACUCUAGAAUAGGGAUUUUAUUGUGGUUUGUCCACCGAUUUGGGGAGCAUAUGAAGUUUUACUAAAUUAAUUGAUAAAAAAAAUAGAAUGAUGCCCAUGUACAAUGAAAGAGAGUUUAGAAUACAUUAAUACAAAUGUGUAAUGUGGUUAGAAAUUUUAAAACAACACUAAAGAUUAUAGGCUUCAGUAUCUUAACCAUUUACCGAAAAAC